AUCACAGGUAACUGAACAUGAACCAGACUUAUAACUUUGUCAUUGACAGAUUUCCCACAGAUCUAUGUGAUGAUGAUCAGUCCCCUCAUCAAAGGUGUUUCUGUUUGCAGCCUCUCCUCUGCCAGCCUUCAUCAUCAGACACGUUGUAGUGCUGCUGAUCCUACUGACAGCCAUCACCACCUCCUACCUGUACUACAAGCCCACCAGGAGGCAGAAGAGAGUGAACAGGGUGAGCAGCAUGGAUCUUUAUGUCAAUGCCAUGGAGAUGGUCUCUCUGAGCUCCAGAGCUGAAGCUGGACCGGGAGAGGAGAAAGCAGCCCAGGGGACGGAGUAGGAGUAGAAUGAAUCUGACCCUACAUGCUGAUCUUAGGUCAGUUUUGUGUUUUAAAUCGAUGGUCAGCUGUGUACUGAUGUUUAAAAUGUGGUGACAAACCUGAAGUGAUUUUAAUUUUAAUAACAAGUUCAGAAUUAGUUUAUCUUUCUAGAACCAUGGAAGAAAUCUAAAAGGAGUUGUUGUUUACCUCUCAUGAUGUUAUUGAUUAUAAAUGUUAUGAUAUUGAUUAUGAUGUAGAUUAGUGUUAUGAUGUUGCUCUCUAAACUGCCAUGUAAUCAACUGAAUGCUUUUAAUAAAAUUACAGGCUGUCAA
This is a long non-coding RNA of Oncorhynchus nerka (sockeye salmon), 646 nucleotides long. RefSeq lists it as uncharacterized. The transcript has 2 exons. NCBI's taxonomy places the organism in Eukaryota, Metazoa, Chordata, Actinopteri, Salmoniformes, Salmonidae. The record is from RefSeq and is a predicted model, not a curated record.